AAAUUCAACAGUGUGCAAAUAUGCAGAGAAAAUGAUUGUGAUCCAACAAUCCACAUACAAGAUGCCAAUCGAAUGACUUGCUUGUGUUCUAAGGCGAUCUAAUAGUCCUACGCACAAAUGGUUCAGAUCUAAAAGAGAAUCGCGAUUUAGCGAUUGAGGGAACAAGAUGGCAAAAUUACAAUUUUGCCAAGGCCUAUCCAAUGGACUGUACGCGACCACACGUGCGAUGUUUGUGCAGUCUAGAUCUAUUUAGUGUUGGAUUUAAAAACUCAUCCAAACCACUCAACCCAGCCCAAUUUGGAAAGAAAGAAAAAAACAAAAAAAUAAGA
Molecule: long non-coding RNA, 329 nt
Filed under: Carica papaya (papaya)
Lineage: Eukaryota; Viridiplantae; Streptophyta; Magnoliopsida; Brassicales; Caricaceae
Description: long non-coding RNA (CPAP_LNC016578)
Source: RNAcentral